Non-coding RNA from Meleagris gallopavo (turkey), 2707 nucleotides. The record is from RefSeq and is a predicted model, not a curated record. Lineage: Eukaryota; Metazoa; Chordata; Aves; Galliformes; Phasianidae.
ACUCGGUCCUGUUAUUUUGUUCUCUUUUAGAGUUUCUUUGCAAGGAAUGCCCAAGAGUUCAUAUUUUCAUUGAUCGAAUUGAACUGAAGGACAUUCCAGAAGAGCAGAUGUAUAUGAGAAGGUGGCUUCAUGAACGUUUUGAAAUAAAGGAUAAGUUGCUAAUAGAGUUUUAUGAUGCAAAGGAUUCUAAAAGAAGAAACAAGUUCCCUGGAAAAAGUGUUCAUUCCAAAUUAAGCCUCAAGAAAACUUUGCCAUCUUUGCUGUUUCUAGGUGGCCUGACUGCUAGUAUGCUUCUGACAGAAUCUGGAAGGAAACUUUAUGUAAAAACGUGGAUAUAUGGGACUUUAAUUGGCUGCCUGUGGGUUAGCAUUAAACCAUAAGCAGAUGUUAGUCUCCGGUCAGUGGGAUGUGCUGUCUUUUCUUGCACAUUGCACCAAACUUUUUCCCAAAUUUAUAGUAAAAACGUGUAAAUAAAGCCUUAUCGACUGAACAUUGGAAAUAAUAGAAUUUGUGACCUAAGCCUCUGUGUGGUUGGUCUGGGGAAAAUAAAUGUAGUUUUUCAAAUUUGCUACUCAUUUUUGCUGGAAUAACGGCAGAUAAACUGGGUCGUAUGAUAAAUGGCUUUCCCCAUGAACUAACACCCAUCUCUAUCUGCAGAUGAAGUAUGAGUUAUGCGUAAGGGUGUCUUAAGUGGACCUGUGAAUGUAUUUACAGAGAUUAAUUUAGGUUAUAUAUUUAUUCUUCUGAUAUUCAUGUUGAAUUUUUGUUACUCCUCGGUGCAUUGCAGCAGCUCAGUUGCAUCUGCCCCAGCUGUAUCGCAAGUAAAAUCAAAACCUUUUUUUCUCUGGAAUUUUGUUUUUCAGUUUUAUCUAAAUACUGUGUUCUCAGAAAGGGCCUGGAAAGCUGGCAAAUCGUGAGACGCUCCCUAAAGCAGAAUAAAACGUUCAUGGGGAAGGAGCUCUGUUUAUCUAGUGCAUGAUUUUUGAUUCUAUUGCAGUAUUAGCCGAUUAUUUUACAUAUGCAAAACAUUAAACCUUACAGAGCAAACAGCUUACUUUGCGCACCCUGUAUCUGUGCAUAAGAGGAAUGUGUGCAGCAUAAUGACAUGGGUUUUUAUUUUGUGGCCUAGCCGGGCUGCAGCCUUCCUUGUGUCUGCGUUGCCCACAGCGCGCCGGGCCUUCCAGCUGGGCUCACAGAACCGCCAUGUCCACGUGCCAUAAGCAGCAGUGAGCGCUCACAACUCCCUGUUACCUCACCGGCGUCGGGUGUGAGCUGUGCCCUCUGGGUAACACGCAGACCCACGGCAGCUUCAGGAGCGUGGCUUAUGGUAGCAAGCAACCUUCAGGUGUCCCUGUGAAACACGAAGCACGUGCCUUUUCCCGCUAGUCUGACUUAGCCUGAUGUCUCAUAAGCUGGCACCCAUCUCAGUGUCGUAGUAUCACAUUAGAUUUCCAAGGCAUCCCAGGCGAUGCAGAUUUCAGGGGGACUGAAGUUAUGGGGUUGAUGAAUACGACUUGCAUAGCAGACUAGGAGUGAAAGAAAUGUGCAUCCUUUCACCUGCCUGAAAAUGUACUUCUAAAAGCAGAAUCACCAAACGCUCACUACCAGAAAGCCUGUGAUUGCCACGGCUGGGAUUUUUGAUGGGGAAAUGCCAUUUCCUGAUAUCAAGGGAAUUGUCCAUAUGUACAGCAACGGGGUAGGAAAGAGGAUGUAUUUUAGCUUCUUCCACUAAGGAAUCAGACUCCCUGUGUGAAAAUGGUGAAAGAACUAGAGAAUAUUUUUGUAUCACACUUGCAAGCUUUAAAUGUGCACCUCUUUUUCGCUUUGGUAUGAUUUGUAUUGCAUUAAAACCCACCGUGAAUUAAAAUAUCUCUCUUAAGAUUAUAACUCCAUUUUUCAGAUUCCACUGUUGCCAGUUAAUUGGAGAUACUGCUUCUACUCUGGAUUUUGUUUCUUGUUGGCUUUUUUUUUGUUUGAUAGAAUGAUGACAGUUCCACCUUAAAAUCAUUCGGUACAGCUUUCAGGUUGCAGCUCUGUGUCCUCUCAUAAUGGAUUUUGUCACUGGAGUUAUUUAUAUCAGUGAUUGAUUCAGGAUAUGUUGAUGAACCAUGUUAAAAACAAUGACUGGGAACAACGUUGAAAAACAGUAUUGUUAUGAGGCUGUGAAACCAGAAGAAAAAAAAAGCCAUUUUAUGUAACAGCCAAAUGUGCUCACAUGUAGCUCUUCCUAUGCUCUGCUGACCAUUGCCAGUGAGUGUAACCUGAAGGCAGUGUUAUCGAGUUAGUUUGAUUCUGAAUCAUGGAAUGAAAUUCUACUUUGUCAUGAUUAAAUUUCUUUGUAGCAGCUAAGAAUAACAUUUAAUUACACAUCAGAAGUAUACGCAGACAGCUUAACUCAUUUGUAGAAAAAUAAAUGCUGUUCUGGAGAGCCUAAUUACCACAAGAUACUGGACUUCUCUUACUGUUUACUUGUCAGGAAUAUAAUUGACACAGUGCAACAAGCAGGAUGUUUAUUUUGAAUGUUACUUUCUGUGUUACUCUUAGUUGUUUUUUUUUUCCUUGCAAUUAAUUUAUAAAGUUUUGAAACUGUAAUUUGCUGAUGUAUUUGGCACUGGGAGUAUCACAUGCUAUUUCUAAAUAUGCACUGAUAUUAACUUGAAAUAUUUCUUCAUUAAAAUAAGAAGAGCUGAUGCUCAUUCAACUUUUC